This 858-nucleotide ribosomal RNA is filed under the name Fistulinella campinaranae var. scrobiculata. RNAcentral describes it as "eukaryotic LSU rRNA". It matches the Rfam family "Eukaryotic large subunit ribosomal RNA", at positions 71 to 903 of the family's 3401-position model. Lineage: Eukaryota; Fungi; Basidiomycota; Agaricomycetes; Boletales; Boletaceae. The record is from RNAcentral.
AGGAUUCCCCUAGUAACUGCGAGUGAAGCGGGAAAAGCUCAAAUUUUGAAUCUGGCGGUUCGAUGGAAGCGUCCGAAUUGUAAUCUAGAGAAGUGUUAUCCGCGCUGGCCCGUGUACAAGUCUCCUGGAAGGGAGCAUCAUAGAGGGUGAGAAUCCCGUCUUUGACACGGAGUACCAGGGCUAUGUGAUACGCUCUCGACGAGUCGAGUUGUUUGAGAAUGCAGCUCAAAACGGGUGGUAAAUUCCAUCUAAAGCUAAAUAUUGGCGAGAGACCGAUAGCGAACAAGUACCGUGAGGGAAAGAUGAAAAGAACUUUGAAAAGAGAGUUAAACAGUACGUGAAAUUGCUGAAAGGGAAACGCUUGAUGUCAGUCGCGUCGGCUGGGGAUCAACCUUGUGUGAAUAACGCUGGGUGUACUUCCUGGUGGACGGGUCAGCAUCAGUUUCUAUUCCGUUCGUAGAAUGAUCAAGGGAAAGUGGCACUCUUAGGAGUGUGUUUAUAGCCUUUGGUCGUAUGCGGGGAUGGGAGACUGAGGAAAGAAAAUCUCAGCACGGUCUAAUAACGGGCUUGUGUUUAGGAUGCUGGCGAAAUGGCCUUAAGCGACCCGUCUUGAAACACGGACCAAGGAGUCUAACAUGCAUGCGAGUGUUUGGGUGAUGAAACUCAUGCGCGAAAUGAAAGUGAAAGUCGAGAGCUCUGUCGUGGAGCGCAUCGACGCCCGGACGGUAGUCAUUGACUAGAUGUCUGCGGUAGAGCAUGUAUGCUAGGACCCGAAAGAUGGUGAACUAUGCCUGAAUAGGGUGAAGCCAGAGGAAACUCUGGUGGAAGCUCGUAGCGAUUCUGACGUGCAAAUCGAUC